This 252-nucleotide ribosomal RNA is filed under the name uncultured bacterium. Its description in RNAcentral is "partial 16S ribosomal RNA". It matches the Rfam family "Bacterial small subunit ribosomal RNA", at positions 524 to 776 of the family's 1533-position model. The record is from RNAcentral.
UACGGAGGAUGCGAGCGUUAUCCGGAUUUAUUGGGUUUAAAGGGUGCGUAGGCGGCCUGCCAAGUCAGCGGUAAAAUUGCGGGGCUCAACCCCGUACAGCCGUUGAAACUGCCGGGCUCGAGUGGGCGAGGAGUAUGCGGAAUGCGUGGUGUAGCGGUGAAAUGCAUAGAUAUCACGCAAAACCCCGAUUGCGAAGGCAGCAUACCGGCGCCCUACUGACGCUGAGGCACGAAAGUGCGGGGAUCAAACAGG